Molecule: ribosomal RNA, 669 nt
Filed under: Zabrotes spectabilis
Lineage: Eukaryota; Metazoa; Arthropoda; Insecta; Coleoptera; Chrysomelidae
Description: eukaryotic LSU rRNA
Rfam family: Eukaryotic large subunit ribosomal RNA
Source: RNAcentral
UGAAAAUGGAUGGCGCUGAAGCGUCGUGCUUAUACUCGGCCGUCAGCGGCAUGUGCGAUAUCGGCACGCACUCGUGCGUGUCGGUGUCAUGAAGCUCUGACGAGUAGGAGGGUCGCGGCGGUGAGCGCAGAAGGGCUGGCCGCGAGGCCGUCUGGAGCCGCCGUCGGUGCAGAUCUUGGUGGUAGUAGCAAAUACUCCAGCGAGGCCCUGGAGGACUGACGUGGAGAAGGGUUUCGUGUGAACAGCCGUUGCACACGAGUCAGUCGAUCCUAAGCCCUAGGCGAAAGCCGAUGUUGAUGUGGCGUUUUUUCUAAUAAAAGAGUUCACGCCCGUCGGGCGAAAGGGAAUCCGGUUCCUAUUCCGGAACCCGGCAGCGGAACCGGUACAAUAGUCGGGCCCUCGCAAGAGAGUUCGUCGGGGCAACCCAAAAGGACCCGGAGACGCCGUCGGGAGAUCCGGGAAGAGUUUUCUUUUCUGCAUAAGCGUUCGAGUUCCAUGGAAUCCUCUAGCAGGGAGAUAUGGUUUGGAACGCGAAGAGCACCGCAGUUGCAGCGGUGUCCGGAUCUUCCCCUCGGACCUUGAAAAUCCGGGAGAGGGUCACGUGGAGGUGUCGCGCCGGUUCGUACCCAUAUCCGCAGCAGGUCUCCAAGGUGAAGAGCCUCUAGUCGA